GGAGCGGUGGCUGAGAGGCUGAAAGCACUCCUUUGCUAAAGGAACGUACUGGCAAAACCGGUACCGAGGGUUCGAAUCCCUCCCUGUCCGCCA
Molecule: transfer RNA, 93 nt
Filed under: Bacteroides ovatus
Lineage: Bacteria; Pseudomonadati; Bacteroidota; Bacteroidia; Bacteroidales; Bacteroidaceae
Description: tRNA-Ser
Rfam family: tRNA
About the family: Transfer RNA (tRNA) molecules are approximately 80 nucleotides in length. Their secondary structure includes four short double-helical elements and three loops (D, anti-codon, and T loops). Further hydrogen bonds mediate the characteristic L-shaped molecular structure. tRNAs have two regions of fundamental functional importance: the anti-codon, which is responsible for specific mRNA codon recognition, and the 3' end, to which the tRNAs corresponding amino acid is attached (by aminoacyl-tRNA synthetases). tRNAs cope with the degeneracy of the genetic code in two manners: having more than one tRNA (with a specific anti-codon) for a particular amino acid; and 'wobble' base-pairing, i.e. permitting non-standard base-pairing at the 3rd anti-codon position.
Source: RNAcentral